ACAGCAGAUUUUUUCCAGAAAUCAUGAAGAACCAAUAAAUUUUGUGUGCUUAAAGACAAAAAAAACUUUAUUUCUAAUCCUAGCCCCAUGAAAAUACCCUUCAGGAAUGAAGGAGAAACUGAGACCUCCUCAGAAGAUUUUCAUAAGUAGAGCUACCAGAAAAGAAUGGUUACUGAGAAUUCUCUAAACAGAGAAAAAAAAUUAGAAGAAAGAACCUUGAAACAUGAGGAUAGGAAAAUGAACACAUUUGCCAUUCCCAGUGCUCUUUCUGAAGUGUGCCCUUUGGAGAAAACAGAAAGAAGCUCUUGUUUCAGCAUGUGUUUUCUCACUUGCCUUCCUACAAGUUGAAAGAUGUUUCCUCAUCCUGCCUGGACCAUGCUCUGCCCCACACAGCUGGGAUGGGGCGUGGGCCCACCUGGGGAUAUAGCCGUCACUUCACUUGAUCGUGAACUGUGCUUCUCCAGCAAGGAAUUGUUUCUUGAGACCCAUUGGAUAUCACAUGACAUUUAGUCAUCAUGUCUCUUUGGACUCCUCUUUGCUGUGACAGUUUCUCAGGAUACCCUUGUUUUUGAUGACCUUGACAAUUUUCAGGAGUGCUGGUCAGAUAUUUUGUAGGAUGCCCACUAUUGGAAUGUGCCUGAUGUUUUUCUUAUGGUGUUUGAUUGGAAGACCAAAUACAGCUCUAAACGUCAACUGAAGAAAGGUGUUGGUGCAACAACGGUGGAUGCUGUGGGAGCCUGAGCUACCUGCCCAUACAGCUUGAUUAUGCCUAUUGAUCCCAUCUGCAGCACUUUCAUCUUAUAAAGGAUCAUUGCUGUACUCACACAGCCUUAUGACUUGUGUGCAUCUCCCAAGACCCAGCUCUUUAGUCAGUGGGCUCUGGAUAUGAAAACUGGCUCAGGUCUGGAAAUUGGAUAUGAGAUUGUAACUUUUUACUAGGGCAAGCAUCUAUUAUUUCUCCUCACACAGACCAACAUCCUUGUUGAUUGCCCAUCUAGAGACACUGUAAACUGUUAAGCAUCUCCAUAAUUCUCUGAAAGUCAGACCUCCUUGGCUUACAGUCCACCUUGCCAGUUGUUAUGGUAAUUGUAAACCUCUUUUUCUGGCAGUUAAAUGUUGCCACCUGCUCUUUAUUGUGUUAGAAUUUUGUCAUCCCCACUUGUAUCAGCGUGCUAAGUUCUGUAACAUCUUCUACUGUCAGCCUGGCCUGUAGAGGACAACUGCCACUGAAAGUUUUAGUGAUAUUAGUGUCCCCUCACCAGCAUACUUUCACGGCCUUGGUAAAUGGUGUGCCCUCUGGGUCUUGUGGAACAUAACUGUCUUGUGGGUCUUCUGGCCACAUGGUAUCCACUCUAGCAUAUCCAAAACCUGAAGCCUUUUAAUUUCUUCCUCUACUAUCUCCUAUACGAUUCUGGCAUUUCAACUUUGUUUAGUGUAAGCUAUGAUUUUUUUCUGUGCUUCUAGAACCCAUCCUGAUCAUGAUUUUGCAUCAUUUCUUGAGCUCCUUGCCAAAAUGUGAAAUUCUGUAACUUGGUAGAAUGUUUCCUUCUCUGAUCUUAUGUUCUAGUCUCCUUGAUUAAGCACCCUCAGGACCCAAUCUCACACAUAUACGCAUGGCUCCUGCCAGAACAUGCUGGCUAGAUCUUUAUCUCCUCUGGGGUAUACUCCCUUUACUCUCUUGUUACGCCCAGCAUCGCCCUCACUGAAAUAUGCUGGAAAUGUACCCUAGUUAUAGGUGUAGUGGACAGGAGGGGAGAAGGGAGCAGAUCCUGUGAGGAGCACCUGUUCUUUUCUGAGAGUUUUCAUUUUUUUUCCAGCAUGUCAUUGUGUUGGUUUUUAACAUGGAGGUAUGGAACACUUAUGAAGGUUCAGAGGAUUUAAGGAGUCUGGAAAAUCAAAAAUCAAAAUAUUUGGGAGCAUCCACUCAUUGUUCUUACCUUCCAUGUAGGAGUCUCUGGUUUUCCCCAUGAGUUCUAACCUUUGCUUAACAAUCUGCCUUUGGUGGAGGUUAAUCAUUUUGAAGUUCAGCCACUAUAAAUUCUAGUCUCUAUCCUUAGCUUUCUUCAAUCUCUUUUUCAGAAAAUAACAGUGUCUUAUUUAUAAAACCAAAGCUUGCCUCUGGAGUUUAUAUCUGGCUUUUAGUUGUAUGCUGCUUACCCUCAUUUAUUUGUUAUAAAUAAGAAAUAAGUUCCACUUAUCAAAACCAUCGAGUUCAAUUAUCUUUAUUAGAGCUACUAUUUAUCCUGUAUGUCACUGUUUAGAAAAAACACAAACCCUGUUUUUUCUCUGCUCUAACACCAACACAACAAUCAAUGCAGAAGACUUCUGUGACCAAAUGGGUGGGGGUUUUUCCCCACUGACUGGGGAUACCAGUUGGGUAUCCUCCAAUUCAAUUCUGACACUGUCUACCUGGAGAUAGCAUCAGAUUCCACAGGUUGAGACCUCAGUCCCCUAUUGCCCUGCCACUUCAGAUACAAGUUGCAAGUCUGAACCUCUGGAACUUCUGACCAACCAGCUUUAAGUUGGGCUUUCCACCACUCACUCUUUGGGUUCAAUUAAUUUGCUGGAGUGGCUCACAAAACUUAGGGGAACACUUGUGUUUACUGGUUUAUUAUAAAGGAUAUUGCAAAGAAUAGAUGAAGAGAUGCAUAGAGUGAGGUAUGGGGGAAGGGACCAGAGCUUCUAUGCUCUCCCUGCUUACAACACUCUCCAGGAACAUCCAUGUGUUCAGGUAUCCAGAAGCUCCCAAAUCCUGUCCUUUGUGCCUUCUAUGGAGACUUCAUUGCUUUUCCAUGAUUGAACCAUGUACAGCCAUUAGAAAUGUAACUGGACAAAAAGGAUAUGACCUAAUCCCAGCAAGGCCUUUUUGGCCUCUUUGUGCAGCUUUCUUUCCUCUAGAGUGUGAGGGUCUUAUGAUCCACAAUUAGAUUAGGGUCCUGAGAUUCUGUUUCCUGAGGCCUGCUUCUUAGGCCUAAAGCACUCCAAUAUUAUAACAAAACACUGUAACAAGGACUAUGGGAGAUAUGAGCCAGGAACCAUAGACAAAAAUGUGUGUGUGUGUGUGUGUGUGUGUGUCUGUCUGUCUGUCACAAACACAUAAAAUAUAAUAAUACCAGCUACUAUUCCCUUCCACUGAUACAAUUCACUAGAAAUGCACUACCAACUUACCAACAGUGAUAUGGUUCUUAUUUUUGGCUGGGCUAUAACAAUCCAGCUCCAAACCCCCAUCUUAUUAUCUGAUUUGUGGUACCACUCCUGUUAUCAACUGACAUACGGUGGAUUGUAUAAAAUGAAGUUGGAGUGUAAGAUGUUAAUGAAGUGAUCAGCACCUGGCAAAGGAGAGGGGAGGGAGCAGGACUGAACACAGGAAGAAGUUAAACUAUAAUGCAGGCCUGACAAACCCUCAGCCAACCUAGUGGUCACCUCUGGAGUGAGAAUGACUCAGAGGUAUUGGGUCACACUGGAUGGACCUGUACUGAGCUCACUCAUCAGAUGGGGGCUGCCCUAGAAAGGCAAGACCUUGGGAAAGUGGCUCUCUGCAGCUGACAUGAGGCCAACCCUAAAGAAGCUGCCAGUUGUAGGUUGUCUGCAAACCAUAUUCCCCUCAGCUAGGUAGCAAGUCCCUCUCUGAUGUGAGAUCUUGGUUUCAUAGCUCCAUGUCUUGCACAUUUCUUGAGUCAUUUUCUAGAACAGUGGUAAAGAUGAGUGGUAUAGUAUGGAUGUUUGUCCCCCAAACCACGUGUUAAAAUUUCAUUUCCAGUGUUGGAGGCGGGCCUAAUGAGAGGUGUUUGGGUCACAAGUGAGAUCCCUUAUGAACAGAUCAAUGCCUUCCCUGGGAAGGGAGGUAACUGAGUUCUCCCUGUAUGAGCUCCCAGGAAAGCUGAUUGCUAAAAGGGGCCUGAUGCCUCACUCCCCACUCUCUCACUUUCUUUGUCUCACCAUGUGACCUCUACACUCCAGUGCCCCUUCGCACCUUCCACCAUGAGCAGAAACAGCCUGAAGCCCUCACCAGAAGCAGACGCUGCACCAUGCUUCUUGUACCUGCACAACCAUGAGCCAAAUAAACCACCUUCUUUUCUUUAAAAAUUAUUCGACUUCAGGUAUUCCUUUAUAGUAACACAAAAAUGGACUAAGAAAAUGAACCAUGCUUACUACAAUUCCUCAGCAUCCAUGCUAAUCCACAACCCCUUCCCUCCCCCAGCUCCUUCAUUCCAAUGUGAAGUCUCUAGAAACUAGGUAUUUCACUGCAUCUGGCAAAGCAAUGCACAGUUUUAAGGUACAGGGCACUAUAGUACAAGCUACAAGAGAGAAAACCAGUUUCUGCCUGGUUUAUACUGGUCAAGAUAGUAUAAGAAAAGGUUGAAUCAAAACUGCCCUAACCCUAUUAAUAAUAUACUAGUAAUAUAAACAACAUAUUAAUAACAUGAAACUUGUCUAUUAAUUUACUUAAGGACCCAUUUCAAUAUCACUGGGAGUGGUUUCUUACUGUUAUGAACUUCUCUAAUAUUCACUCUUUUACCUUAUAGCACUCUUGGCUACCUCAAACUUUAAUUAUUUGCACAUAUUUUCUCUAUACUACUAAUAUACACUAUCUUCAUAUUAGUCUCUUUCUUGAGCCCAUCACCCAGUUUAUUAGGCCCUGGAGAAAUAUUUUUCAAUGUCUCCAUUGCAUAAUAUAGCAGUCUUCAACAUUCUCCUGAAGGAUAUGAAAAAUGAUGUUCACAGGAAAAACAUGCACUCAUAGAUAUGCUCAUAUUUUAGAAAAAAUAUUUUUUCAGACAAGUAAAGAACUGAGAUAAGCUAUUGGGGAACAUCAGUAACAAUGGCUGUAUGUGGGCUGCAACAUAAAGAAGACAAGUGCCAUUUAUAAGCAAUUCCCAAUAUUUUGAGUGGCACUUUCUGAGGUCCAGAAUCACAUAACCAAUUUUCUACUGAUAUCUCCACCCAUCAGUAACAAAAGCUUACCUUCAACCCCAAAGCUGCUUCCCGUGUCUUCUACUUCAGCAAAUGGCACUGUCGUGCAUACAACUUCUCAACCAAACACUUGGGAUUCAUCUUGGACCACUCCCCAUCUCAUACACCAUUCAUUUCUACUUAACCCCCAAGUCCUAAUGAUUUUUUCACUUAAUAUCUCUUGAACAUAUCCACUUCUUUUUAUCCCUUAAUCUCUUCCAUUUCUCA
RNAcentral lists this long non-coding RNA (5181 nucleotides) under Homo sapiens (human). Its description in RNAcentral is "HSALNT0109552". The record is from RNAcentral. Lineage: Eukaryota; Metazoa; Chordata; Mammalia; Primates; Hominidae.